Long non-coding RNA from Xiphophorus couchianus (Monterrey platyfish), 497 nucleotides. RefSeq lists it as uncharacterized. Lineage: Eukaryota; Metazoa; Chordata; Actinopteri; Cyprinodontiformes; Poeciliidae. The transcript is spliced from 4 exons. The record is from RefSeq and is a predicted model, not a curated record.
AUGCAUUUCUGGCCGUCAUCGUGAAGGAAUACAACAGCAAGAACACAGGACAGGCUGUGUUCAUAGAUUCAUUUGCAAUGACAGCAAUGUGGCAGGGAAAAAGUCCUAGAUUAAAAAAGAUGAACCCAAUGAAUUAUGAAAUAAUUCUGGGAAUCAACAAUCAACACCACCACUGGACUUUAGUGGUGAUCUACCCACAAGACAAAAAGUCUUUGUUCUUGAAUCCACUGGGGGAAUCAAAACAAGACAUCCAGAAAUGCUUGCAAAUCACAAGGGCAUUUAUGAGGAAGAAGGGGUGCAAUGUCUCACGUUGGACAUGUGACCAGUCAAGCAUCCGAAACAACAGGAUAGCUCAUCAUGUGGUGUAUUUUCACUGAAGGUGCAUACAUAUUGUCACACAGUGUAUGACUUUAGGAUUUUGAUAUAUAUUUUGAGACAUGUACAGUGAAUUACUUACUUUGUUACUUAAAUUUAAAGAUAUUAAAUGAAGCUGUUCA